RNAcentral lists this ribosomal RNA (253 nucleotides) under uncultured bacterium. Its description in RNAcentral is "partial 16S ribosomal RNA". It matches the Rfam family "Bacterial small subunit ribosomal RNA", at positions 524 to 776 of the family's 1533-position model. The record is from RNAcentral.
UACGGAGGGGGCUAGCGUUGUUCGGAAUUACUGGGCGUAAAGCGCGCGUAGGCGGAUCAGAAAGUUGGGAGUGAAAUCCCGGGGCUCAACCCCGGAAUUGCCUUCAAAACUCCUGGUCUUGAGUUCGAGAGAGGUGAGUGGAAUUCCGAGUGUAGAGGUGAAAUUCGUAGAUAUUCGGAGGAACACCAGUGGCGAAGGCGGCUCACUGGCUCGAUACUGACGCUGAGGUGCGAAAGCGUGGGGAGCAAACAGG